UUAGCGGCGGACGGGUGAGUAACACGUGGGUAACCUGCCUGUAAGACUGGGAUAACUCCGGGAAACCGGAGCUAAUACCGGAUAGUUCCUUGAACCGCAUGGUUCAAGGAUGAAAGACGGUUUCGGCUGUCACUUACAGAUGGACCCGCGGCGCAUUAGCUAGUUGGUGAGGUAACGGCUCACCAAGGCGACGAUGCGUAGCCGACCUGAGAGGGUGAUCGGCCACACUGGGACUGAGACACGGCCCAGACUCCUACGGGAGGCAGCAGUAGGGAAUCUUCCGCAAUGGACGAAAGUCUGACGGAGCAACGCCGCGUGAGUGAUGAAGGUUUUCGGAUCGUAAAGCUCUGUUGUUAGGGAAGAACAAGUGCAAGAGUAACUGCUUGCACCUUGACGGUACCUAACCAGAAAGCCACGGCUAACUACGUGCCAGCAGCCGCGGUAAUACGUAGGUGGCAAGCGUUGUCCGGAAUUAUUGGGCGUAAAGGGCUCGCAGGCGGUUUCUUAAGUCUGAUGUGAAAGCCCCCGGCUCAACCGGGGAGGGUCAUUGGAAACUGGGAAACUUGAGUGCAGAAGAGGAGAGUGGAAUUCCACGUGUAGCGGUGAAAUGCGUAGAGAUG
Molecule: ribosomal RNA, 620 nt
Filed under: Bacillus altitudinis
Lineage: Bacteria; Bacillati; Bacillota; Bacilli; Caryophanales; Bacillaceae
Description: bacterial SSU rRNA
Rfam family: Bacterial small subunit ribosomal RNA
Source: RNAcentral